UGGUGUUACUGCGAAGGGGGGACGGAGAAGGCUAUGUUAGCCGGGCGACGGUUGUCCCGGUUUAAGCAUGUAGGCUGGUUAUCCAGGCAAAUCCGGAUAAUCAAGGCUGAGGUGUGAUGACGAGGCACUACGGUGCUGAAGUAACAAAUGCCCUGCUUCCAGGAAAAGCCUCUAAGCAUCAGGUAACAUCAAAUCGUACCCCAAACCGACACAGGUGGUCAGGUAGAGAAUACCAAGGCGCUUGAGAGAACUCGGGUGAAGGAACUA
Molecule: ribosomal RNA, 267 nt
Filed under: Klebsiella pneumoniae
Lineage: Bacteria; Pseudomonadati; Pseudomonadota; Gammaproteobacteria; Enterobacterales; Enterobacteriaceae
Description: partial 23S ribosomal RNA
Rfam family: Bacterial large subunit ribosomal RNA
Source: RNAcentral